This is a long non-coding RNA of Esox lucius (northern pike), 493 nucleotides long. RefSeq lists it as uncharacterized. The transcript has 5 exons. The record is from RefSeq and is a predicted model, not a curated record. NCBI's taxonomy places the organism in Eukaryota, Metazoa, Chordata, Actinopteri, Esociformes, Esocidae.
CCAACUGCAGCUUGCAGCAGUCGCUCACGCCAGUCCCCCUGCUCACGCCGCGCCCGCUCACGCCGCGCCCCCGCUGGCACGCAACUUCCGACUUUCAGACAUGUACGGUUUGUUUACAAGACGCAGAUGGACCAUAUUGCCAUAUUGAGUCAUGGCGGCAACAACUCCCGGGAAGCACCUGAGGGACAUGGCAAGCAUCCGAAAAUGGUGGUGCAUUAGUCUAAUGGAACGGUUCCAGAUUGACGGCCAUGGACAGAGGUUUGCAUACUGGACUAAUGAGGCCAGAGCAUUGCUCCAAGGUUCACUGCAGCCGAUAUACAGGGUCCCAAAGGUCAGCAAGAGGGAACAUGAGGUUUCGAUUAGAAAAGGAUGACAGGUGCAUCAUAUUGGAGUUACCAACAUGUGUGCUUUCUGUAAUCCUAAAUGAAGUGGUACUACAGGAAGGAGAUAAGGCAUACUUAAGAUUGGCUCUUGUGGGUCCACUGACUCCUUC